CCCUCACCAGCGCCCGGCCGCACAAGAAUCAUGCCCCCACCAACCCACCUGACCUCCACCAUGCUGCAGCACCACAACUUCAUUUCCUGCCGGUGGGAGUCCACCACCGAAUCCAGGCAUAUCGGCGCGCCGCCCAAUGCCUCCUUCUGUCUACCCUCGGUGAUGCUCUCCACCAUCACUCUGCCAGGUUCCAGCGGGGGCUCCACAGGCCGCUACGUUAGUCCAAAUCCCGCUGCCCAGGCCGGCCAGCACCAAAUGCCUCUUUGCUCCAGCCCCACAUCGGGUUACAGCCCCGGCCCCUCGGUGCCGCAUCUGGUAGAGCUCGCUGCUCUUCCGUGGUUCUAACGGGAGAUGGACGCGCUGGCAUACAUAGGAAGAUCGAGGCCCUCGUCCAGUAUGUCCAGUUUUGAUCGUGAUGCUUUUCUACUCAUGACACUGGAGCCCCCACUGCACAUUUCCCCCAGUGCGCAUGUCGAAGGCCGGGAAGUUCUCCUGCUGGUGUACACCAAGUCUAGAGAUGUUGCUGCCAAUAGCAUGGAGCGAGCUGAUGCUUUAGCAGCUAUAAGAGAGGCCUUCCACACGAUAGGCUAAACUGCUCUAAUGUGGAUGUUACAACAGGUCAUUGGCAAAAAUAUAUUCCAUGUGGAGCCCCUGCUGGUCGCCCUCGGCCACGAUCUCAUCCACCACAGUUGCCGACAGCCGUCUGAGUCGAGUGCUGACCGCAGUCCAAGUAGAAUGGUGGCCACCAUCUUCACCAAGAGCUGCACAACGGUCCAGGUUAGAGCACACACAGAGCGAUAACAGCAUCUUGUUCUACUUUGCACAUUGCUUAAAUCACACAGACAAAUAUGCUAGCAGGUAGUGCUCUUAAAAUGUGAGUUUAUUCCUUACAUGGAUGUACUAGUGACACUACUCUUGCAUAAAAUUUCUCCUUUUGCAAAAAGUAAUUUGUGCAAAAAGAAGCAAACGUCAUGUUGACCUGGUUUGCACAAACGAUGCUUGCUAGGUGUUUGUUCUAAUGCCUAUGUGAACACAACACUUGUUUCUUGUUUUCUUUAUACUGAGAAGAAACCUAGUGAAGGAUCAGGGAAACAGAAUGGCUCACCAACAAAAGCCACUAAAAAAGUUUUGAAUAAAAUUGGGGAGGAUCAAGUACAAGAAUACAAAAAGUUCAGAGUUGAGAAAGCGGAAAAGUUCAUAGGCCUCUCCCAUUCACAAACGCACGUCGCUGGCCAAUUGAGAUGUGUUGCCGCCGUCGCCCAUCCAAAAUCACAGUGCCUAUCGAGUUUCUUUGUCAAAAGCUUGCAUCGAUAGCUAACCCUGUAUUAUUAUUGUUACCUACUAUUAUGCUAAUGUUGUACUGUUGCUCUUGCUUAUUAAGGCAUGCAUCAAUAGUUAAUAUUGAACUGCAUGUGCUAUUCUAUGUUAGGUGAUUGGAGCCUUUCUUUAAUGGAUGUGUUCUUUGGAUGAGGACGCCAACGUUAUGUUGUUUUCAUACUUUCAACAAAAAAUAUCUAUAAGUUCAAAAUGUAUAACCCUAUAAUUUCAUUGAAAAACGGAAACAAAAAUAAUAGUGCUUGAGCAAGUAGUCACCCCGCACUGGAUCGAUGGGCCGUUGUCGCUCCCCUGGUGCGUACAAGCAGUUCAACACCGCAAUCCCCGGCCGUUCGGUCUCGCCGCCGUGGGCGUGCCCCGCUCCAACUCCAUCACCUGUGCUUCAGUGGCGAAACAGUGCAACCUCAGGAACCGCUAAGGGUCGAGGACGUCCAUCUCGGUAGUCCAACUUGGCGUUAUGCAUGUCAUUGCUAGUCCCAUGUUCGCUAGCAAGACCACCACGCUUCUCCGCCGGCACCGGCAGGGUGGUGUACACGGAGAUAGAGGUCGGCAAGUCGGGCAAGGCCACGGGAGUUGAACUACAGAAAAAAUAUCAGCCCAAUGAUAGAAAAACAUCAGUUCAAUAAAUAUAUAUGCAGGAGGUUGGGAGCAAAAAAAACUGGCCACGGCGCGCCUCCACCUCCGUGUCAUGGCGUGCCUCCACAU
Molecule: long non-coding RNA, 2040 nt
Organism: Triticum dicoccoides
Lineage: Eukaryota; Viridiplantae; Streptophyta; Magnoliopsida; Poales; Poaceae
Exons: 5
Source: RefSeq, a predicted model, not a curated record